Macadamia integrifolia is the source of this 846-nucleotide long non-coding RNA. RefSeq lists it as uncharacterized. NCBI's taxonomy places the organism in Eukaryota, Viridiplantae, Streptophyta, Magnoliopsida, Proteales, Proteaceae. The record is from RefSeq and is a predicted model, not a curated record. The transcript is spliced from 3 exons.
GUCUAUAGAAGCAGAUCUUAAGUUGUCUAAUAUACAAGCUAAAUGUUGGAUGGAGCUAGAUAUUGAAUAGGGUUUAGGUGCUCCAUGUUAUGAACAGAAUAAUUAAAUGCCAAUGGUUUAAGGAGGGACUAGGGAUCAUUAUAUGUACCUACCUAACAACAUAGAAUCUAAUUGAUCACUAACUAGGUACAGUAAGCCCAAGGCUUGUAUCAUAACAAAGACAAGCAAGAAAAAAAAAAUUAGAUGAGAGAGAGAGAGAGAGCCGCCCAGUAUUUGCCCCCCCCCUCCUUUUUUUUCUUCUUUUUAUUCCAUUUCUAAUGAUUGAUUUCUUUCAUUGUUUCUUGUCCAUAAUUUGGACCUUGAUUAAUGUUUGGGAGGUUAUAUAGGAAGCCUCACAGAUUCUUUGGAAAGAUAGGACUGCAUCAAUGAGGAUUGAGGAAAGGUGAGGUUAUACUUUCUACAAAAUUUCCAAUGGUCAGAAUCUACUUCUUGGAGAAACAACUUGAGGUUCUCUGCUACAGGAGUUGCAGGCAAUCCAUUUUAAACUCUUCAUGAGAAGACAACGGGUACGAUUAAAGAACAACUUCAUGCAAUAGCCCCAGUAUUGGAACAACUAUGGAAGCUGAAAGAGGAGAGAAUAAAGGAAUUUUUUGAUGCCGCUGUAGGAAUCGGAAACCGGAUCAGCCUCAGUUGAUUUUGAUUCUGCCGGAAUCGUCCAGGAAUCGACUUGAACCUAAGAAAGCCUCAGUUGUAUAUUGUAUAUUGAGAAAUAAAUUGUAUAUUCUGUUUUCUUUUCGUGGAUGUAUUAUUACAGGAAUUUAUGUUGUAAAUAUAAUUUAUUUUUUU